UACGUAGGGGGCAAGCGUUGUCCGGAAUUAUUGGGCGUAAAGAGCGCGUAGGCGGUCCGAUAAGUCGGCUGUGAAAGUCAGGGGCUCAACCCUUGAAAGCCGGCCGAUACUGUCGGACUAGAGUCCGGAAGAGGCAAGUGGAAUUCCCGGUGUAGCGGUGAAAUGCGCAGAUAUCGGGAGGAACACCAAUGGCGAAGGCAGCUUGCUGGGACGGUACUGACGCUGAGGUGCGAAAGCGUGGGGAGCAAACAGGG
Molecule: ribosomal RNA, 254 nt
Filed under: uncultured bacterium
Lineage: Bacteria
Description: partial 16S ribosomal RNA
Rfam family: Bacterial small subunit ribosomal RNA
Source: RNAcentral